RNAcentral lists this ribosomal RNA (253 nucleotides) under uncultured bacterium. RNAcentral's name for it is "partial 16S ribosomal RNA". It matches the Rfam family "Bacterial small subunit ribosomal RNA", at positions 524 to 776 of the family's 1533-position model. The record is from RNAcentral.
AACGUAGGAGGCAAGCGUUAUCCGGAGUUACUGGGCGUAAAGCGCGUGUAGGCGGCCAGAUAGGUCUGUUGUGAAAACUCGAGGCUCAACCUCGAGCUGUCGGCGGAAACCAUCUGGCUAGAGUCCGGAAGAGGAGAGUGGAAUUCCUGGUGUAGCGGUGAAAUGCGCAGAUAUCAGGAAGAACACCUAUGGCGAAGGCAGCUCUCUGGGACGGUACUGACGCUGAGACGCGAAAGCGUGGGGAGCGAACAGG